GAUGAACGCUGGCGGCGUGCCUAAUACAUGCAAGUCGAGCGAAGCGGGGACGGGUGAGUAACACGUGGAUAACCUCCUAUAAGACUGGGAUAACUUCGGGAAACCGGAGCUAAACCGGUUACUUAUAGAUGGAGCCUCGCUGCAUUAGCUAGUUGUUAAGGUAACGGCUUACCAAGGCAACGAUGCAUAGCCGGCCUGAGAGGGUGAUCGGACACACUGGAACUGAGACACGGUCCAGACUCCUACGGGAGGCAGCAGUAGGGAAUCUUCCGCAAUGGGCGAAAGCCUGACGGAGCAACGCCGCGUGUGUGAUGAAGGUCUUCGGAUCGUAAAACUCUUUUAGUAGGGAAGCGGUACCUAAUCAAAAAGCCACGGCUAACUACGUGCCAGCAGCCGCGGUAAUUC
RNAcentral lists this ribosomal RNA (405 nucleotides) under uncultured bacterium. Its description in RNAcentral is "partial 16S ribosomal RNA". It matches the Rfam family "Bacterial small subunit ribosomal RNA", at positions 28 to 526 of the family's 1533-position model. The record is from RNAcentral.